GAUGAACGCUGGCGGCGUGCCUAAUACAUGCCAGUCGAGCGAACAGACGAGGAGCUUGCUCCUCUGACGUUAGCGGCGGACGGGUGAGUAACACGUGGAUAACCUACCUAUAAGACUGGGAUAACUUCGGGAAACCGGAGCUAAUACCGGAUAAUAUAUUGAACCGCAUGGUUCAAUAGUGAAAGACGGUUUUGCUGUCACUUAUAGAUGGAUCCGCGCCGCAUUAGCUAGUUGGUAAGGUAACGGCUUACCAAGGCAACGAUGCGUAGCCGACCUGAGAGGGUGAUCGGCCACACUGGAACUGAGACACGGUCCAGACUCCUACGGGAGGCAGCAGUAGGGAAUCUUCCGCAAUGGGCGAAAUCCUGACGGAGCAACGCCGCGUGAGUGAUGAAGGUCUUCGGAUCGUAAAACUCUGUUAUUAGGGAAGAACAAAUGUGUAAGUAACUAUGCACGUCUUGACGGUACCUAAUCAGAAAGCCACGGCUAACUACGUG
RNAcentral lists this ribosomal RNA (497 nucleotides) under uncultured bacterium. Its description in RNAcentral is "partial 16S ribosomal RNA". It matches the Rfam family "Bacterial small subunit ribosomal RNA", at positions 28 to 507 of the family's 1533-position model. The record is from RNAcentral.